AUGGUGUGGAGACGAUGCUUGGCGUCUCCGGCGAGAUCGGCAAGAUGGGCGACAAGCUCCGGUACCUCAACAAUUUCUUGGCUGAUGCUGAUAGGAGGAACAUCACCGAUGAGACCGUUCAAGAGUGGGUGGGGCAGCUCAAGCGUGCCAUGUAUGAAGCUACCGACAUCCUCGAUCUCUGCAACCUCAAGCUUGCUCUUCUGCAUGCGGAAUCCCUCCCAUGCUCAUGAGAUCGGCACCCGCAUCAAAAAGCUCAACAUGAGGCUCGACUCCAUCAAAGAACGGAGUGCUGCUUUCAACUUCAUCAAUCUCGGGUCUUAUGAGGAUCAUAACUACAAUGUCCAUGGCUUUCACCAAGGUAAUCCAAGUCGGGAGACGGUAGGGGACUUUGACCGGUCGGAAGAAGACACAAGAGCACUGGUGGCCCAAAUCAUGCAGGCGGGAAAGGAUGUCAACAAUGGCAUCAUGGUGGUCGCUAUCGUAGGUGUUGGUGGGAUCGGCAAGACCACCCUCGCCCAGAAGGUCUUCAAUGACGAGGCAAUCCAAGGUGAAUUCAGCAAAAAGAUAUGGUUGAGCGUCAACUAA
RNAcentral lists this ribosomal RNA (585 nucleotides) under Triticum aestivum (bread wheat). RNAcentral's name for it is "partial small subunit ribosomal RNA". Lineage: Eukaryota; Viridiplantae; Streptophyta; Magnoliopsida; Poales; Poaceae. The record is from RNAcentral.